Molecule: ribosomal RNA, 402 nt
Filed under: uncultured bacterium
Lineage: Bacteria
Description: partial 16S ribosomal RNA
Rfam family: Bacterial small subunit ribosomal RNA
Source: RNAcentral
UGGGGAAUAUUGCACAAUGGGCGCAAGCCUGAUGCAGCCAUGCCGCGUGUGUGAAGAAGGCCUUCGGGUUGUAAAGCACUUUCAGCGAGGAGGAAGGUGGUGAAACUUAAUACGUUCAUCAAUUGACGUUACUCGCAGAAGAAGCACCGGCUAACUCCGUGCCAGCAGCCGCGGUAAUACGGAGGGUGCAAGCGUUAAUCGGAAUUACUGGGCGUAAAGCGCACGCAAGGCGGUUUGUUAAGUCAGAUGUGAAAUCCCCGGGCUCAACCUGGGAACUGCAUUUGAAACUGGCAAGCUAGAGUCUCGUAGAGGGGGGUAGAAUUCCAGGUGUAGCGGUGAAAUGCGUAGAGAUCUGGAGGAAUACCGGUGGCGAAGGCGGCCCCCUGGACGAAGACUGACGCU